RNAcentral lists this ribosomal RNA (531 nucleotides) under uncultured Bacteroidota bacterium. RNAcentral's name for it is "bacterial SSU rRNA". It matches the Rfam family "Bacterial small subunit ribosomal RNA", at positions 343 to 864 of the family's 1533-position model. The record is from RNAcentral. Lineage: Bacteria; Pseudomonadati; Bacteroidota.
GGGAGGCAGCAGUGAGGAAUAUUGGACAAUGGACGAAAGUGUGAUCCAGCUAUGCCGCGUGCAGGAUGAUGGCCCUAUGGGUUGUAAACUGCUUUUAUACAGGAAGAAAAGCUCCGACGUGUMGGAACUUGACGGUACUGUAAGAAUAAGGAUCGGCUAACUCCGUGCCAGCAGCCGCGGUAAUACGGAGGAUGCCAAGCGUUAUCCGGAAUCAUUGGGUUUAAAGGGUCCGUAGGCGGUUUUUUAAGUCAGAGGUGAAAUCCUGCAGCUCAACUGUAGAAUUGCCUUUGAUACKGAAAGACUUGAGUUAUUGUGAAGUGGUUAGAAUGUGUGGUGUAGCGGUGAAAYGCAUAGAUAUCACACAGAAUACCAAURGCGAAGGCAGAUCACUAACAAUAUACUGACGCUCAGGGACGAAAGCGUGGGUAGCGACACAGGAUUAGAUACCCUGGUAGUCCACUGCCGUAAACGAUGGAUACUAGSUGUAUGUCUACUUCAGGUAGAUGUGUGCCUAACGCGAAGAGUGAUAAG